This 509-nucleotide ribosomal RNA is filed under the name uncultured bacterium. RNAcentral describes it as "partial 16S ribosomal RNA". It matches the Rfam family "Bacterial small subunit ribosomal RNA", at positions 28 to 523 of the family's 1533-position model. The record is from RNAcentral.
GACGAACGCUGGCGGCGCGCUUAACACAUGCAAGUCGAGCGAGAACCUGGGCUUCGGCCCUGGGGACAGCGGCGAACGGGUGAGUAACACGUGGGUAAUCUGCCCUUGACAUCGGGAUAGCCCGGGGAAACCCGGAUUAAUACCGAAUAGCCUCCGGAGCCUUCGGGCGCCGGAGAAAAGGUAGCUUCGGCCUCUGGUCGAGGAUGAGCCCGCGGCGGAUUAGCUUGUUGGCGGGGUAACGGCCCACCAAGGCGACGAUCCGUAGCUGGUCUGAGAGGACGAGCAGCCACACUGGGACUGGGACACGGCCCAGACUCCUACGGGAGGCAGCAGUGGGGAAUCUUGCGCCAAUGCGGGAAACCGUGACGCAGCGACGCCGCGUGGGGGAAGAAGGCCUUCGGGUUGUAAACCUCUUUCAGGAGGGACGAAGCCACUCGGGUGAAUAGCCCAGAGGGUGACGGUACCUCCAGAAGAAGCCCCGGCUAACUACGUGCCAGCCGCCGCGGUAA